AACAAUGAAAGACGACGCGUUUGGAGAGUACAGAUCUCUGGAGAGUGAUAAUGAGAAGUGCUCCAUCAGUCAGCCAUCUGUCUGCGAGAGCAAACGCAGCAGUAACGACAGUCUGGCCGACUACGGAGACAGCGUUGACAUCCAGUUCAACGAGGACGGCUCCUUCAUCGGCCAGUACAGCGGACGCAAGGA
Molecule: non-coding RNA, 192 nt
Organism: Pimephales promelas (fathead minnow)
Lineage: Eukaryota; Metazoa; Chordata; Actinopteri; Cypriniformes; Leuciscidae
Source: RefSeq, a predicted model, not a curated record